Dreissena polymorpha is the source of this 1852-nucleotide long non-coding RNA. RefSeq lists it as uncharacterized. The transcript is spliced from 4 exons. The record is from RefSeq and is a predicted model, not a curated record. NCBI's taxonomy places the organism in Eukaryota, Metazoa, Mollusca, Bivalvia, Myida, Dreissenidae.
UUACGCUGUAGAUGUUAUUUUCUGUGCAAAUACAAGCGUCUAUUGAUAACGAAACGAUAAUUUGUCAACAAUGAGAAUCAGAUACUUGGCUUAAUAAUUUUCAUUUAAAAUGUCUAAUUUGGAUAUAAUUCGGAAUACAAAACGAAACUUAAAAGGUAUUGAAAACAACAACGUUCAAAAGAACAAUGUGGAUUUCAAUAGAAAGACUAUUUCCACCGACAAUCAGGAUUUCCGGAAUGACCACUGUUAUUUUGACGAUUUUUCUAUCGGUUCGUCGGUAAGCGUGACCACAUGUGACAACAGCGAUGCUAGUUGGAUAUAAAAUUGGUAGACGUGUCGUUGAACUCGACACAUUGACCGAAUCGCUUUUAGCAUGCAGUGCUUGUCAAGUGCCCAUGAAUUUACUUAACACUGUAGAAAGCAGGGAUUUCGGACAGGCAUGUGUUUUGGACAUACAGUUUAGCAAUUGUGGUGCAGUAAAUAAUGUGGCUACUGGACGGAAACAUGGCAGAGUUUAUGACAUGAUCACAAAGCUUGCAUUUGGGUAAAUCAAAAACUGGGUGUUUCACCUGGGACUUUCACAUCGAAACUGGCCCUUCUCCAUGACCUUCAGCACAAAAAAAGAAAGGCUAUAACUGUUACUCGUGCAGCAAAACAGUGACGCAUAAGACUUAAAACUCGAACGGCAUUCAAAGGACAGUGCAAGAAGUACAAGCGGGACCAACAUACAGUUCAAACAUAGAGGACCAAGACGUUGAAGUUACAACUAUACCCCCACCUAUACCCAAGCCUGGUCCAGCAGGGCUAGACACUACUGGGAAGGAAUUUGUUUUCUUUGAUUUGGAAACAAGAGGGUUAGAGCACACUUCUCACAUAAUUCAGAUAGCUGCAGUGCAUUCAACUGGUCAGAAGAUUUCCUUGCAAGCGUCAGAAAUAACUGGAGUGACAGUUGUUAGCGACUCUAUGCUUGUCAAGAGACAAACAGUAACAGCUGUCCCCAUCAAAUCUGCAUUGACAAGUUUUAUAACAUUCUUACAGAAAUGUUCACCAAUUAUUUUAGUUGGGCAUAAUAUAGAGUCUUUUGAUUGUAAAGUGUUGCUCCGUGCUAUCCAUACUUGUUGAAAAAUGUUUGAGUUUCAGCAAAAUAUUUGUGGCUUUUUAGAUACUUAAAAAUGUUAAAGGAAAUAUUACCAAAUAUGAAAUCAUAUUAGCGGGAACAUUUAGUUAAAGACGUCAUUGGUGAAUUAUACAUGGCACAUGGCUCUAUACAGGAUAUUUUAGCUUUACAAAAGUUAGUGAACUCUGUUCCUUUUGACCAAAAAUUGUUAACAAAUAUUCAUUCAGCUUUUACCGAGCAGUGUUAACAUACAAUGUGUAACUAAAUGUUGCUUCCAACAUCAAAUCUUUACAAACCAUAAUUGAUACAAAAGUUAUAAGUCAAGGUGUUGCAAGGAAAGUUGCAGGAAGUGGAUUUCAACUUAAACAUUUGAGUCCUGUAUCAAAAAGAAACGGACUGAGUGGUUUGAGGAGCCCCCUUUCAGAGGUUACAAACGGACAAAUCAGAGUAACAAAAUCAGAGAAAAUAAUAUGUACAAUAGCGAGUUAUUUGUUGCCUGACAUCUAACCAAUUGUAAUUUGCAUCUUGUAUAUAGAUAAGCUAUGAAAUCUAAAAGCUGUUACAUCAUUGUUUUUCCUUCUCGAUGACGAACAUAGUUGUGAUUCUUAUGUCAGUUGUAUUUCUCAUGUUUCACCUAAGUUGUAAGAUAUUUUUGGCAGUGCAUUAAACCACAGAUGGUGUGUGAAACAUAAUUGCCCAGCUUAUUGUAUUCUUUGUUGUUUUAUGCUUCACUGG